Long non-coding RNA from Helianthus annuus (common sunflower), 1272 nucleotides. RefSeq lists it as uncharacterized. Lineage: Eukaryota; Viridiplantae; Streptophyta; Magnoliopsida; Asterales; Asteraceae. The transcript is spliced from 4 exons. The record is from RefSeq and is a predicted model, not a curated record.
AUUGAGAGUUCCAGAGAGGCAGAGAGAGAACGGGGAGGUAGGGUAGGGCUGCCAGCAACCGACGUCUGCGGUGGAGGAGUUACGGCGUAGUUGUGGCGACGCCUCUUCCUUUUUACUCAUUUUACCCUAAACUCAUAAACACACAUUUAGAGAGAGAAAGACAGAAUGAGAGAGAACGACGUGAGAGAGAAACCGAUGAAAGGAAGAGGAAGCCGAUCACCCCAAUCGGAUGACGGUGAUGAUGGCGACGACUCCGACAACCAGAUUGGCAGCGAUGCACUAGGGUUCCAGUUUGGGGUUUUUGAAACCAGAUAGUGAAGGUGUUGAGGACGUCUGCAAUCUGGUUGUCCAGUUUGGAGGUUUUGAAACACACAGCCGGAAUUAACAGUUCAUGACUCGUCCGUAGGUCACCGCCAUCGCAGACCGUUCCACCGUUUCGAGUCCGCUGCUGUAUCCCAAGAUCCAACGAUGGUUUGAGCUCGAUUUCAAAGUCUCUGAUGAUCCGAAGAUCGUGCUUCAGAGUAUAUUGGGGAGAAGAGGAGGGGGCUGGAUGUUUUGAAAGAGGGAUUUGAUGAUGAAGAAAAGCUUUCAAGAACUGUGUUUGUUGGGAAUCUGCCUUUGAAGGUGAAGAAGAAGGCAUUGCUGAAAGAGUUUAGUCAGUUUGGAGAUAUAGAAUCCGUUCGAAUUCGAUCUAUUCCUAAUUAGAUGAUAAAACUCCAAGAAAGGGUGGUGUGAUCAAGAAGAAAAUCAAUGAUGCUGUUUACAGGUGGGUGGAAAUCAUAUUCAUGUAGACAGAGCUUGUCCGCCUCGCAAGAAACUUAAGGGAGAAAACGCUCCCGGAUUACCUUAUGUUGGAGAAGCAAUAAAGCCAGCUGGCAACUGGCUUAUUGGUAGAGAUCCAGAAGUAUAAUAAGGCCCUACCACCAACCCUUCGGGGCUUGCAUCAAAUGUGAUAGGGGCAGUAGCACAGGACCAGAGUUAUUAAGCGAGUACCCGCCGCAUCGCGACGGGUUACUUUUCUAGUUUAUUGAAAAUAUUAAUAUACUGUUGAUCAGUUCUGCAAGUAUGUAAUGGAAAACAUGUAUAAUACCUGUUACAACAUUCAGAUCAACAGAGAAUCUAGAAUGGAAGUAGCCAUGGAGUUCGACAUGUCAGUCAGCUUGAUCUGGUUCCCUUUUAUGUGAAUGAUGGUAAUACUGAAUUCCUUAUGGUUAGAAAUUUGUGAUUAUGGAGAGAAAUGAGGUCGAGAUAUGUGAUGUUAUUAUUCGAGUC